CUUCUUUGACUUUCUCAAAGAAAUAAGACUCAAGAAACUCUUCUACUCCCAUUUCCCUCGGGUCCAUGCAAAUCAGAAAUUUGCACCUUACUUUACUCUUUUUCUCUCAAGGAAAGUGCUAGGAAGCUCUCUUGAGUCUUCCCUCAAGUCCAUGGGUUCACACACCAAAAGAAAACUCAUUUCUUCUUCAUAUUCUCUCAAAGGAACCAGAAAACUCUCUCAAGCUCUCUACCAUUCUUUCAUGAGUGGUUCUAUGUCUAUUUUCCCCCACAAGAACCAUAAACUUAGUGUUACCAGUUCCCCAGGUUUAAGCUCCUUCAACUUUAGGCUCUCGGUUUCUUUGCUUUCAGUUAGCAGGUUUUGUUUUGGAGUAGAGGGAGCCUU
Molecule: long non-coding RNA, 384 nt
Organism: Quercus lobata
Lineage: Eukaryota; Viridiplantae; Streptophyta; Magnoliopsida; Fagales; Fagaceae
Exons: 3
Source: RefSeq, a predicted model, not a curated record